This 550-nucleotide ribosomal RNA is filed under the name uncultured bacterium. Its description in RNAcentral is "bacterial SSU rRNA". It matches the Rfam family "Bacterial small subunit ribosomal RNA", at positions 94 to 640 of the family's 1533-position model. The record is from RNAcentral.
AGCGGCGGACGGGUGAGUAAUGCCUGGGAAAUUGCCCUGAUGUGGGGGAUAACCAUUGGAAACGAUGGCUAAUACCGCAUAAUAGCUUCGGCUCAAAGAGGGGGACCUUCGGGCCUCUCGCGUCAGGAUAUGCCCAGGUGGGAUUAGCUAGUUGGUGAGGUAAUGGCUCACCAAGGCGACGAUCCCUAGCUGGUCUGAGAGGAUGAUCAGCCACACUGGAACUGAGACACGGUCCAGACUCCUACGGGAGGCAGCAGUGGGGAAUAUUGCACAAUGGGCGCAAGCCUGAUGCAGCCAUGCCGCGUGUAUGAAGAAGGCCUUCGGGUUGUAAAGUACUUUCAGCAGUGAGGAAGGUGGAUAUGCUAAUAGCAUAUUCAUUUGACGUUAGCUGCAGAAGAAGCACCGGCUAACUCCGUGCCAGCAGCCGCGGUAAUACGGAGGGUGCGAGCGUUAAUCGGAAUUACUGGGCGUAAAGCGCAUGCAGGUGGUUUGUUAAGUCAGAUGUGAAAGCCCGGGGCUCAACCUCGGAAUUGCAUUUGAAACUGGCAAA